This 433-nucleotide ribosomal RNA is filed under the name uncultured bacterium. RNAcentral describes it as "partial 16S ribosomal RNA". It matches the Rfam family "Bacterial small subunit ribosomal RNA", at positions 29 to 507 of the family's 1533-position model. The record is from RNAcentral.
AACGAACGCUGGCGGCAUGCCUAACACAUGCAAGUCGAACGAGACCUUCGGGUCUAGGGGCGCACGGGUGCGUACCGCGUGGGAACCUGCCCUUAGGUUCGGAAUAACUCCCCGAAAGGGGUGCUCAUACCGGUUAAUGUCUUCGGACCAAAGAUUUAUCGCCUUUGGAUGGGCCCGCGUUGGAUUCGCUAGUUGGUAGGGUAAAAGCCUACCAAGGCGACGAUCCAUAGCUGGUCUGAGAGGAUGAUCAGCCACACUGGGACUGAGACACGGCCCAGACUCCUACGGGAGGCAGCAGUGGGGAAUAUUGGACAAUGGGCGAAAGCCUGAUCCAGCAAUGCCGCGUGAGUGAUGAAGGCCUUAGGGUUGUAAAGCUCUUUUACCCGGGAUGAUAAUGACAGUACCGGGAGAAUAAGCUCCGGCUAACUCCGUG